GGAUAUUAAAAACAGUACAGUUGGGAACAUUCUUUUUCCUCGUGUGAACAACAUAAGCAAAGAACGUAACCGGCUUUCAUAUUACGGCAAUCCUCAUGUGGGAAAUCUUACACUAGUCUCUGCAGAUAAGAGUUCGAGUUCCAUUUGCCUAUCCAAACAAUCUUCAAGCAUUGACUACCCACCGUCGCUCAAACCAAGCCCAAAAAAACCGCUGCAGCAAAUAAGCCGCUUUCUCAUCCCACUUUCGCUGAGAUGAUAACUGAAGCAAUCACAAACCUGAAAGAAAGAACCGGUUCAAGCCAAUAUGCUGAAACAAAAUUCAUCAAAGAGAAACACGAGGACUCACCUCCAACUUACCGUAAGCUUGUCAAGUUUACCUAUCAGAAGGUAUUGUUUCACUAUGGAGAGAUAACACUGCAAACGUCAUCCGUUACUUCCCCGCUCAGGCUUUGAAUUUUGCAUUCGAGGACUACUUCAAGAGGCUUUUCGAUUUCAAUAAGGACAAAGAUGGUUACUGGAAGUGGUUGGCUGGUGACUUGGCCUCAGGAGCACGAAUCUAAACCGUAGCCACCAAUAUUCAUCGCUGAAGCAUCAACCGCCUGCAUUACCGUCCAAGUCAAACAAUCUGCACAUAAAGAGAGAAAAAGCAAAAGACGACUUCACUUUGAAGAAUCUGCAACUUUCAAGAAGAGGAUAACAUAAUUCGAUCUCCAAUUUCUCAACCGACGGAACCGGAAGCUCCACACCAGCAUAACCUGCACGAAGGAGGAAACUCAGAGGGUCAUCAAAAGACUCAAUGUUUAAUCCAAAAGUUUCAAAUUCAGUUCCAGAAUUAUUUGAUACUAACCUUGUACUGUUCAUUAGUCGGCGCCGGUGUUAAUCUCCAAUACAAUCCGCCUCAAACCAUGGGGAAGAAGCAAAAUGGGUUUAGAAGGCCUGUUAUCAUAAAAAACAAGAGGAAUCAUCAGCAGGUCGUAACUACUGGACCAUCAAGCCAUGCACAUAACAUCUAUUGAGCUAACAUCUAACUGCAUCAAAACCAACAAGCAGUAGGCCCAUUGUAGCAGGGACAUGGCAUAUGCUAGCAGACAACUUACCAAAACCAGGCUCCAACUAAUUGAACCUAACAACCUUGCUAACUUUGUCAUCCAAACUAACAGUAGCAGCUCAUUACACCAACAAAGCUAACAGUCCUAAUUGCAACAUAACAACAAACCAAUGUUAAUGGAUAAACCUGUUGAAGCCAAGAGAAGUCCAUGUGAGGUCUCCAACUCA
RNAcentral lists this long non-coding RNA (1275 nucleotides) under Lathyrus oleraceus (garden pea). RNAcentral describes it as "Pisum sativum (pea) long non-coding RNA (PSAT_LNC035013)". Lineage: Eukaryota; Viridiplantae; Streptophyta; Magnoliopsida; Fabales; Fabaceae. The record is from RNAcentral.